UACGUAGGGGGCUAGCGUUGUCCGGAAUCAUUGGGCGUAAAGCGCGUGUAGGCGGCCCGGUAAGUCCGCUGUGAAAGUCGGGGGCUCAACCCUCGGAUGCCGGUGGAUACUGUCGGGCUCGAGUACGGAAGAGGCGAGUGGAAUUCCUGGUGUAGCGGUGAAAUGCGCAGAUAUCGGGAGGAACACCUGUGGCGAAGGCGGCUUUCUGGGCCCUACCUGACGCUGAGACGCGAAAGCGUGGGGAGCGAACCGG
This 253-nucleotide ribosomal RNA is filed under the name uncultured bacterium. RNAcentral's name for it is "partial 16S ribosomal RNA". It matches the Rfam family "Bacterial small subunit ribosomal RNA", at positions 524 to 776 of the family's 1533-position model. The record is from RNAcentral.